UGCAAUGUGGUCCUCCACUUCAGAGAAUGGGGUUAAAAAUUGGAACAAGUUGUUGUACUUCAGGGAAGAGAGAAAGGGUGGAAUGGGGGCCUCCACUUCAG
This is a long non-coding RNA of Lemur catta (Ring-tailed lemur), 101 nucleotides long. RefSeq lists it as uncharacterized. The transcript is spliced from 3 exons. NCBI's taxonomy places the organism in Eukaryota, Metazoa, Chordata, Mammalia, Primates, Lemuridae. The record is from RefSeq and is a predicted model, not a curated record.